AGCGAACGCUGGCGGCAGGCCUAACACAUGCAAGUCGAACGGCUCUUCGGAGCAGUGGCGGACGGGUGAGUAACGCGUGGGAACGUGCCCUUUGGUUCGGAACAACACAGGGAAACUUGUGCUAAUACCGGAUGAGCCCUUCGGGGGAAAGAUUUAUCGCCAUUGGAGCGGCCCGCGUUGGAUUAGGUAGUUGGUGGGGUAAAGGCCCACCAAGCCGACGAUCCAUAGCUGGUCUGAGAGGAUGAUCAGCCACACUGGGACUGAGACACGGCCCAGACUCCUACGGGAGGCAGCAGUGGGGAAUCUUGCGCAAUGGGCGAAAGCCUGACGCAGCCAUGCCGCGUGAAUGAUGAAGGUCUUAGGAUUGUAAAAUUCUUUCACCGGGGAAGAUAAUGACGGUACCCGGAGAAGAAGCCCCGGCUAACUUCGUGCCAGCAGCCGCGGUAAUACGAAGGGGGCUAGCGUUGCUCGGAAUUACUGGGCGUAAAGGGCGCGUAGGCGGACAGUUUAGUCAGAGGUAAAAGCCCAGGGCUCAACCUUGGAACUGCCUUUGAUACUGGCUGUCUUGAGUUCGGGAGAGGUGAGUGGAAUGCCGAGUGUAGAGGUGAAAUUCGUAGAUAUUCGGCGGAACACCAGUGGCGAAGGCGACUCACUGGCCCGAUACUGACGCUGAGGCGCGAAAGCGUGGGGAGCAAA
Molecule: ribosomal RNA, 696 nt
Filed under: uncultured Alphaproteobacteria bacterium
Lineage: Bacteria; Pseudomonadati; Pseudomonadota; Alphaproteobacteria
Description: bacterial SSU rRNA
Rfam family: Bacterial small subunit ribosomal RNA
Source: RNAcentral